CUUAAUUGGUGCGGUAAUGGAAUAACAAAAUGGAUACUUGAAUUUUUGAAGACCCUUUGCGGAGAAGCAAAAAAACGAAAAUGAAAUUUUAGUAUUAUAAGUAUAAGUUUAUUAUAUUAUAAGUAUAAGUAUAAUUGUGACUUUGAAAAUGUUGUAUUAGAUUAAAGAUGGACUUAACUCAAUUUCCAAAAAUUUUGCACUUAUUGUUCUGCCAGAACAGCGAUUUUGGCUUUGAAGAGGCUGUCCUCUCACCAGUUUUUAACUAACAGGUAUCAGAGGCUGGUUUACGACAACUGUUUGUCAGACAUAGUUCACUUUUAUGCGGCAUAUACAGUUUUAAUUAGGUUGAAAUGCAAAACGUACUAGGCAAUUCAGUAACGCGCAUGAGCUUCUAAGAAAUCGGGCCGAUAAAAAAGUUGCAGCACGUUUUAUUUCGCACCGACUCGACAGUCGGUGUUACAAAGCACAAGCUCCUACCGGUGCUCGAUACGGAAAGGAUUAAAUUCGAGAAAACCAUAUUUUCUGUACAAAGAGGCUUACAUUGAAAAACUUAUUUGCGAAGUAUAGAAAAUGCGACGUUCAUAUGAAACAACAGCCAGCUAUUGAGACGGAAACAUAAAGAUAAAGCUUUCAAAGGAAGUGUAUGUACAACUACGACUUUGUGUGCUGCUAAAAAACGCAGGAAAUGCGUUCACUUUGACCAGUUGCUCUUCUUGCCGUAUAUGUAUAUCAUGUCAUUCCUGGAGAAGCAGUGUACGUUUCGACACUAAAGAGAACCGACAAAUUUCAACCGAAGGCAAGAAAAACAUGUUAAUAAUUCUGAAGCGAAGUAGUAUAGUCCAAUACGACCUUAAAAUAAUAUUGGUUAGGUCACCCCAUAUUAAAUGGGAAGGGAGGAAAAAUGGGGAACUAUGCGAACUAUGUGAAUUUACAAACGACAAAGAAUGAACAGCAAAGGUCUUGAAGAUUCCUACACUCAAAAGAGAAAUAGCCAGCAAUGCCUUACGAGGAAACCAUUGGGGCUGUUGUCUUGGCUAGGACGGGAGUGUGGGAAGAAAGUGGUUAAACAUAUUCUUACCCUCCAGAAAUACGGUUUAUGGAAGUUCGGAAAUGGUUUAUAAACAAAAGAAAUGACUGGUAGAAAUUGGCUCAACCUCUUCUUAGAUUGUAAUCCUUCACUAAUUGUGAAUAGAGAAAAUAUUUCCAAAUAUUGUGACCUAAUGCAGGAUACAUUUGUUAAGUUUGAUUUAGUAAACAAAUCGUUGAUGACUCGGGACUAUGAACAAUGUAACAAUAAACCUGGACAUAUCUUGGCUGUUAAGGUUUCCAGAAAUGUUGUUAAUGUUACAUCCGGUGAAAUCUCUGUCAUUGUUGGCUGGUUGAGAGAUUAAUUUUUGAUAAGAAGACCCGAGGGCAGAGCUAUUGUCACAUUAAUUGGCCACGGCUCCCACUGCAACUUGAACUUUCCCCUUCAAUUCGCGUGCUAUUUGCAAUUUUGACGAAAAUUCUCAAAUUCAAGGUACAAGUUGUCCACAACCAAGUUCCUCUAAGAUUACUGAUUCAUCAAGUAUCAAUUGGCACAACUGAGACACAAGAAGAAGAUGAAUUUAAUUCUCCAACAAAAAAGGGAAUGUGUCGAAAGGAAGGAAAAGAACCAACAGUGGAAAAGCGCAAACAAAGAAGUCUUGCAAGGUAAGGUUUUGGAAGCAGACGCGGAAGAAUAAUGAUUCAGAUACUGAGUCGAAAGAAUAACUUGCGAAAAUGGCAAAAAAGAUUAAUUGAAUAGCAUAUGUAUGACGGAAGAUUGUACACAAUUGGUGUUGUCCAUGCGGAAGCAAAAAAAAAAACGUUCAAGAGGGUUCACCUUCUGACCAUCUUGCCCAUCACUAUCUAACCCAGAGUAUGUGGGAGAGAUGAGAUUUAUUAUUUGCAAAUGUAAAAAUAAUCUAAUUUUUGUUUUAUAAAACACACAGAAAAACUACAGGUGUUUCAAAUUUUGUUCGCAAACACAAAACGAGAUUCUGAGUUUGAAUA
Long non-coding RNA from Cylas formicarius (sweet potato weevil), 2034 nucleotides. RefSeq lists it as uncharacterized. The transcript is spliced from 4 exons. NCBI's taxonomy places the organism in Eukaryota, Metazoa, Arthropoda, Insecta, Coleoptera, Brentidae. The record is from RefSeq and is a predicted model, not a curated record.